CACUCAAACAUUAAAUUAUUUGUUAAACAAAACAAAUCCAAAUAUCAACUAUUAUUUUUUAUAUUUUGAAACACAAAAAUAUCAACUAUUAAAACAAUAAUAACCAGCAUAUAGGCAUGGCGAGAGAACAAUUCCAGCAGACUCUAUCUAUCUUGCAAAGAAAUAAUAAUUUCUUAGAAACAAACGAACAUAGAUUAAGUUUUCAAAAAAAAAAAAAGAUUUAAUAGACAUGAAGAUCGGACCGUAAUGCUUCCAUUCCCCAGAAGAGAUGAGAUGAGAUUCAGGUUCGGAUCCAGACAAAAAUACUUCUAUUCACAUAACACAUCAUAUUCCCACUAACAUGGAUCGAUCAUCCUGUGAGGGAUUUCUCCUUUUUUUUCCCUUACUUUCUUGAACAAUAAAAACAAGCCUUCAUCUUCAUCGUGUCCGUAUGUCUCAAAAUCCUUCCAAACCUCUUGUUCUUUGAUGAGACUUUGUUUGGGUGUAGUUGGUGGUGGUGAUGAGACAUGAAGAGAGAGGGAGGGGAGGCGGUUGGGGCGGAGGGGA
RNAcentral lists this long non-coding RNA (546 nucleotides) under Brassica napus (rape). Its description in RNAcentral is "long non-coding RNA (BNAP_LNC024864)". Lineage: Eukaryota; Viridiplantae; Streptophyta; Magnoliopsida; Brassicales; Brassicaceae. The record is from RNAcentral.